This 1164-nucleotide ribosomal RNA is filed under the name Triticum aestivum (bread wheat). RNAcentral describes it as "partial small subunit ribosomal RNA". The record is from RNAcentral. Lineage: Eukaryota; Viridiplantae; Streptophyta; Magnoliopsida; Poales; Poaceae.
GAAGGUGUAGAAAAGGGGUGGGGUGCGGCGGUAGAGGGGUGGAAGCCUAGCCAAGCUUAGAUGCGGCCGUGGUCGGGUGGGGCACACGGCGGGUAAGGGUGCAUGCUACGCCUACGUCGGAGUGGGUUAACGACUAGAGGCGGCGGUCGAGUCCGGAAGCGGCCACUGAUAGGCAAGAGGGGGCAGUAGCUAGAACGGUCAACCUCGGGGUAGUCGUAGGCAGAAGGAGUGGCAGCGCUUCAGCACCAGGAGUGCCUGCAGUAGAAGUGGCAGUGGUUCAACGUAGGUACGGCCGCAGUAGGAGAUGGGCUUCGAGGCGGCGUACAACACAGCGAUGUGGCAGGUGUUCGUCGAGAGCCGUGGUAGGAUGUAGAAGUCUGAAGGCGGGGCAGUUCGUCCUAUUACAUCUUCUGAACUCUCUGCUCGACUCAUGCUACGUAAACAAGUACUUCGUUUUUAAGCGACUUCUCUUUACCUGUUUAUUUUAACAUUGGCACCCUUCACUACUUCAACUAAAGUCGCCUUCUCAACAACCGUCACUGGAUGGUGUACUUCUUAGUAUACUGUCACACGUACGAGGUGUCUUACAAUACGUCUACUACGUUAUCAAAGAAGUGAUCAUUCAAUCGCGGUCUAAAAAGAGUAUGAAUUUUUGUUAACAAGUAGUAUUCAACGUCCUUAACGUAGGAUCGUCAACACGCUCUUGGUUUCUCCCAGUGUCGUCUAGCAGAAAUUCUGUACUUGUGUAGCAACGAUUCUACGCGUGUAACUUUUCAAACUAUCCCGAUCAGUUCCACGUCUUAGUUGAAAUGGUUCUGCUCGUCAAUUGAUCGGUCAAAAAAUCCAGUUUUAUGGAUUCUGUUAGCGAGGUUGUUGUGGUGUUUUCUAAGCAUGAGGUUGUACUGGUGUUCUGUAACUACACCCAUACGAUUCCGAAAUCUCCACACGUAACGUCCUAGGUCCUCGUCGACGUCUACCUAAUCAAAAAUUUACUUGUUUGUAUAGCUUAAUACAAAUCUAAAAUCGAAGUAUCCUUUUGAAUCAAGAUCAUACAUCCUUAAAAAGAAUUAAUUAAUAAACAUAAAAAGUAUACUUAAAGACUAAACUAAGUCAACACUUGAGGUGUAUGAAAAUCUUCUACAAAGACAAGGAUGAUUUAUCAGG